This is a long non-coding RNA of Mustela erminea (ermine), 469 nucleotides long. RefSeq lists it as uncharacterized. The record is from RefSeq and is a predicted model, not a curated record. The transcript is spliced from 3 exons. NCBI's taxonomy places the organism in Eukaryota, Metazoa, Chordata, Mammalia, Carnivora, Mustelidae.
UGCCCCAAAUAGUUUCAAUUAACUCUUUUCCUUUCCGGCAAGAUCUGCAGCUCUCCGCAUUGCUUUUUGGGAGCGAUUACUUCCUAGAUUUACAAAUGUCACAGCCUCAUAUGCUUCUGCUUCCAGAAAGCAUGUCGCAGCAGAGAGCUUCAUUUCUGUGUGAAGUGAGAGUAACAGCAACAGAACCAAAUAGGGCAAGAUUACAGAUGAAGAAAGUAACCUUCCUACUGGAGUUGUGACUUGAAUCCAUGCCUGUGUGACUCAAAUCUUGUACGAAUGGCUCCAGGGAAGCUGAGAUCCUUUGAGUAUAGGGGAGCCCAUGUUCUGACCUGGGCAUUGGUGGGCACGUCCAGGAGCAGCAUAAGAAGAUUGCAUGAGUCCAGGCUAUCAACACUGAACGUCUGACCAGCACAGGAAAUGGUGGAGAGAAGGGAUGAAGGGUAGAGACGUCUCAGAGGUGGAACCUACA